AACCCGGGGAAACCCGGGCUAAUACCGCAUACGUCCUACGGGAGAAAGAGGGCCUCUGCUUGCACGCUCUCACUCCAGGAUGAGCCCACGUCCGAUUAGCUAGUUGGUAGGGUAAAGGCCUACCAAGGCCACGAUCGGUAGCUGGUCUGAGAGGAUGAUCAGCCACACUGGGACUGAGACACGGCCCAGACUCCUACGGGAGGCAGCAGUGGGGAAUAUUGGACAAUGGGCGCAAGCCUGAUCCAGCAAUGCCGCGUGUGUGAAGAAGGCCUGCGGGUUGUAAAGCACUUUCAGUGGGGAAGAACAGAUUCGGGUCAAUACCCCGGAGCCCUGACGUUACCCACAGAAGAAGCACCGGCUAACUCCGUG
Molecule: ribosomal RNA, 369 nt
Filed under: uncultured bacterium
Lineage: Bacteria
Description: bacterial SSU rRNA
Rfam family: Bacterial small subunit ribosomal RNA
Source: RNAcentral